RNAcentral lists this long non-coding RNA (651 nucleotides) under Physcomitrium patens. RNAcentral's name for it is "long non-coding RNA (PPAT_LNC014967)". The record is from RNAcentral. Lineage: Eukaryota; Viridiplantae; Streptophyta; Bryopsida; Funariales; Funariaceae.
UCUCUAUGAAGGCAUAUAAGAUAAAUCUAGUCUAUAUGUGGGGCAUGAUUCAUUAUGUAUAUUAUUAAAGAGAAGUUUGUAUUGUGGAAAUAGUCUUUCAAUGUAUUUGGGUAGAUUCUUGGAUAUUAGCUUAAUUUCUUGUAGAAUUAGAAUGGCAAGGUUGAAUUGUGAAAUAAGAAAGUAUAGACAUAAUAUGGAGGUGUUGAAAAAGGAAAUAUUCCAUGUGAUAAAGUAUGUGAUUUGAUUUGUAUAAGAGGGGUGUUGAGGUUGAGGAGAAGGAUGAUUAGAGGGUGGUGGUGGAUAAAAAUAGUCUAUUAGUAGGACAAUGCAUCUUAGGGCUUCUUUUACAAGGAUUAGAAGAAUAUAGAGGAAUUUAGUUUGAAUAUAUUGGAGAGCAACAAGUAGAUUAUUUGUGACUAUAUAAUCACAUAAUUAUUUAUGGAUGGUAUUUGAUAAUAUUAUGAUAUUUGCAUGAGCUUGCAUAAAUUUAUCAAAUUGAUUAGAGGUAAAAAGUAUAUGUUUCGGUAGAAUAGAGAGUUGUGUUAGUUUGAUAAGUAGGUUGAUAAAGUGAUAUUAGUUAAAAACAAGUGUUGUAUUAUAUAUAUUAGAAAAAAGACUUAGUGUUAUGAUUAGUACAAAGAGUAUUCUUAG